UAAUACAGAGGGUGCAAGCGUUGUUCGGAAUUACUGGGCGUAAAGCGUGCGUAGUCGGUAUUGAGAGUCGCGGGUGAAAUCCCAGGGCUUAACCCUGGAACUGCCUGCGAGACCUCAGUACUAGAGUGUGAGAGGGGAUAGUGGAAUACCCAGUGUAGCGGUGAAAUGCGUAGAGAUUGGGUGGAACACCGGUGGCGAAGGCGGCUAUCUGGCUCACAACUGACGAUCAGGCACGAAAGCGUGGGGAGCAAACAGGAUUAGAUACCCUGGUAGUCCACGCCGUAAACUAUCCAUACAAGCUGUAGUGGGGUUUUACUCCUGCUGUGGCGAAGCUAACGCAAUUAGUAUGGCGCCUGGGGAGUACGGUCGCAAGACUAAAACUCAAAUGAAUUGACGGA
This 398-nucleotide ribosomal RNA is filed under the name uncultured bacterium. Its description in RNAcentral is "bacterial SSU rRNA". It matches the Rfam family "Bacterial small subunit ribosomal RNA", at positions 521 to 917 of the family's 1533-position model. The record is from RNAcentral.